GAUGAACGCUGGCGGCGUGCCUAAUACAUGCAAGUCGAGCGAACGGACGAGGAGCUUGCUUCUCUGAUGUUAGCGGCGGACGGGUGAGUAACACGUGGAUAACCUACCUAUAAGACUGGGAUAACUUCGGGAAACCGGAGCUAAUACCGGAUGAUAUUUUGAACCGCAUGGUUCAAAAGUGAAAGACGGUCUUGCUGUCACUUAUGGAUGGAUCCGCGCUGCAUUAGCUAGUUGGUAAGGUAACGGCUUACCAAGGCAACGAUGCAUAGCCGACCUGAGAGGGUGAUCGGCCACACUGGAACUGGGACACGGUCCAGACUCCUACGGGAGGCAGCAGUAGGGAAUCUGCCGCAAUGGGCGAAAGCCUGACGGAGCAACGCCGCGUGAGUGAUGAAGGUCUUCGGAUCGUAAAACUCUGUUAUUAGGGAAGAACAUAUGUGUAAGUAACUGUGCACAUCUUGACGGUACCUAAUCAGAAAGCCACGGCUAACUACGU
Molecule: ribosomal RNA, 496 nt
Filed under: uncultured bacterium
Lineage: Bacteria
Description: partial 16S ribosomal RNA
Rfam family: Bacterial small subunit ribosomal RNA
Source: RNAcentral